Long non-coding RNA from Bos taurus (domestic cattle), 719 nucleotides. The record is from Ensembl. Lineage: Eukaryota; Metazoa; Chordata; Mammalia; Artiodactyla; Bovidae.
GGCGGGAGGCUCGGGCGGGCGCCCUGGCGCGGGAGUCGGGUGCAGGCGACCAGGAGGGGUCGGCCGCGGCGUUCGGACCCGGUAACUUACAAGAUUAAAAUUAAAUUUGAUUGACGAUGAUUCUGAACAAAUAUGCUGUUUAUUUGAGGUAUGCCAUUUUGAAGACUGAGACCAUGGAAUUUUGUCCUUGAGGAUAAAUCUUUGUGAUAGUCUGUAUUUUGUAUAGCAAGAAUAUGAAUCCUGAAGCUGAAUUACCUAAGGGGCCUCUACGGUGAAGUGAAAUAGAUGUUGGUGGAAGCAUUUAGUAAUGUAAAAGCUAUAAAUGUUAAUCUUCACCACUACUGCUACAUAAGCACCCAGUCAGCUUGAAGAGUCUCAAAUGGACCCUACCACUGAGAAAUCAAGAUGGCAGUCCACUAUGGGGAAUUGAGAAAAAUGGAUUAAUACAAGAGUGCUGUGAUAAUAUACAACCAAGACAGGGUUCUUUUAACAUGGAUUUCAUGAAAUGAAUGAAGAUAUAGGUUUUUUAACAGCACAAAUGGACAGUAAAUUUGUCUUUCUAGAGACUUUUUGUAUCAUUAGGAAUAUUUUUGACAUUUGGAGAAAAAGAUGGCACAUUAACAGAUGAUAGUUUGUAUGCCUGGAAUUUUUUCAGUUUGAUUUGUAUGAGUAUGACCUUGUGGAAUGUUAACUUUAAUAAAAUUUCUAACACUUUAAAA